UGGGGAAUAUUGCGCAAUGGGGGAAACCCUGACGCAGCCAUGCCGCGUGUGUGAAGAAGGCCCUAGGGUUGUAAAGCACUUUCAAUAGGGAAAAAAGGCGUACGGUUAAUACCCGUGCGAGUUGAUAUUACCUAUAGAAGAAGCACCGGCUAACUCCGUGCCAGCAGCCGCGGUAAUACGGAGGGUGCAAGCGUUAAUCGGAAUUACUGGGCGUAAAGCGCGCGUAGGCGGUCUGUUAAGUCAGCUGUGAAAGCCCCGGGCUUAACCUGGGAACUGCAGUUGAUACUGGCAGGCUAGAGUACGAGAGAGGGAGGUAGAAUUCCAUGUGUAGCGGUGAAAUGCGUAGAUAUAUGGAGGAAUACCAGUGGCGAAGGCGGCCUCCUGGCUCGAUACUGACGCUGAGGUGCGAAAGCGUGGGUAGCAAACAGGAUUAGAUACCCCCGUAGUCC
This 449-nucleotide ribosomal RNA is filed under the name uncultured prokaryote. Its description in RNAcentral is "bacterial SSU rRNA". It matches the Rfam family "Bacterial small subunit ribosomal RNA", at positions 355 to 796 of the family's 1533-position model. The record is from RNAcentral.